ACAUACGGCCAUACCCAUUGGAAAACUCGGGAUCCCGUCCGCUCUCCCAUAGAUAAGCCAAGGAGGGCCGGAUUAGUAGUUGGGUCGGUGACGACCAGCGAAUACCUGGUGUUGUAUGUC
This is a non-coding RNA of Colletotrichum orbiculare MAFF 240422, 120 nucleotides long. The record is from Rfam. Lineage: Eukaryota; Fungi; Ascomycota; Sordariomycetes; Glomerellales; Glomerellaceae.